Molecule: ribosomal RNA, 497 nt
Filed under: uncultured bacterium
Lineage: Bacteria
Description: partial 16S ribosomal RNA
Rfam family: Bacterial small subunit ribosomal RNA
Source: RNAcentral
GACGAACGCUGGCGGCGUGCCUAAUACAUGCAAGUUGAGCGCUGAAGGUUGGUACUUGUACCAACUGGAUGAGCAGCGAACGGGUGAUUAACGCGUGGGGAAUCUGCCUUUGAGCGGGGGACAACAUUUGGAAACGAAUGCUAAUACCGCAUAAAAACUUUAAACACAAGUUUUAAGUUUGAAAGAUGCAAUUGCAUCACUCAAAGAUGAUCCCGCGUUGUAUUAGCUAGUUGGUGAGGUAAAGGCUCACCAAGGCGAUGAUACAUAGCCGACCUGAGAGGGUGAUCGGCCACAUUGGGACUGAGACACGGCCCAAACUCCUACGGGAGGCAGCAGUAGGGAAUCUUCGGAAAUGGACGAAAGUCUGACCGAGAAACGCCGAGUGAGUGAAGAAGGUUUUCGGAUCGUAAAACUCUGUUGGUAGAGAAGAACGUUGGUGAGAGUGGAAAGCUCAUCAAGUGACGGUAACUACCCAGAAAGGGACGGCUAACUACGUG